AUGAUUCUGUUGUCUCCUUGGCUCUCCCUCUCAGCCUACACUCGUACAAUUUGUUUUGCAAAUUUGUUCCAGCUCCACUGUCUGAUCCUGAAACCAUCAAGCUCUGACUAGACCAUAGACGGCCGGGCUAAGCAAGUAACUUCGUACGUGUAGGCACGAGGCAUUGCAUGCCUGCCUGCGUAUGGCAGCAUGUAACGAAUGCUUCUUCGUAUUUCUUCCGUAAACUAAUAUAAAAGCAUUUAGAACACUACUUUAGUAAUUCAAAUGCUUUUAUCUUAGUUUACAGAGGGAGUAGUUCGGAAUGAGCGGGAUCAGAAAAACACGUUUCACUUGAUUUGUUGAAACAGGCCUAAUACGCAGUCCACGGCAGUGGUCCAACUUGGCUCCUAAGCAAGCCCAGCAUGGCGAAGAACUGGCAACGCAUGCACGUCCGCAUGCCUGAGGAUCGCUACCCAUCUCGCACGCCAUCUACUGGUCGCUGACCUGCUCCUUAGGGUUUCGGUUAGCUGCUGUUGUACUGCCCGUGUAUAAGUACCGAUGAUAUAGAUUGAAUAAACGCGUGGAAACUCAAAACCUUUCUCAAAUCUCACAUGGUAUCAGUUUUCUUCUGAUCCUCUCGCUUCCGUUCUCCACCGCCGUCAUGGCCUCCCCUCGCUCCUCUCUCUCCGACGAGGUCAAUCCCUUUGCCGUCCUCGAGCCUGCCUCUGCAGCCAUCCUUCGUCUCAUCCACAUCCAGGAUCACGCCCCCGUCAUCCUGGAUCUCCACACCCCUUCCUUCUCCACCUGGCGUACCUAUUUCUCGUCGACCUUCCACGAAUUUCAAAUUCGGGAUCACGUCGACGGCUCGAUGGAUGCUCACGCCAUGCGCGACGACGCCAACUGGAUGGGGGUCGACGCCACUAUCAUCAAAUGGCUGUACCGCAUCGUCAGCAACGAGAUCCUCUCGCACGUCAUCCGCGACGACGACUAGGCCCUCGGCGUUUGGACCUCCAUCUGCCAACUCUUCCUCGACAACCAGCUAAAUCGCCAGGUGCUUCUCACGACCGAGUUCUACAGCCUCUCCCAGGAUGGUAUGGGGCUCUUCGACUAUUGUCUCCGCUUCAAGGUGCUCGCCGACAAGCUCCGGGACGUGGGCGCCCUGGUCUCCGACGCCACCAUGCUCACGAACUUGAUCUGCGGGCUCGGUCCAGACUACGCCAACGCUGCUUCCAAUCUCAACCUCCUCACUGAGCCGACGUUCGCCCGCGCCGUCAAUUACCUGGGUCUUGAGGAGCGGCGGAUGUGGUAGUCCUCUCUGCAGCGCAACCAGGCCGCCCUCGCGGCGUGCACGGCUUCAUCAGCGCCUCCCGCAGCUCCUCCCACGGCACCCCCCGCAGCCGGCACCUCUCCACCCGGCCACACCCGCAAGAAGAAGUGGGGUUCCGAUGGUCGCCCGCGUGCCGCCGGCCUGGCUCCCACCGGGCGUCCCUCCGCGCCAUCCGGUCCCGCUCCUGCGCCCUGGUUCGGGGGGUGUCAAUCCUUGGACAGGAGUCAUCCACGCGUGGGCCUUGCCACCGGCGCGCGCACCCCACCCUGGCAUCCUCGUAUCGCGUCCUGCGAGCCACCAGGCUCUGGUGGCUACCUCUCCGUCUGGUGGCUACCCCACACCGCCCCCAACGCGUGGCCACCCACGCCUCCUGCGCACUGGCUCGGCAACUCCGACGGGGCGGCCACCUCCUACGAUCUCGCGCUCCUGGCAGACCUGCAUUAGGCUCCCUUGCCGGCCACCUACAUCGGCAACAACGACUGGUUCAUGGACAUUGGCGCGUCCUCACACAUGGCCUCCCACCCUGGUAUCCUUUCCCACUCUCAGCCCUUCCCUACGUCUACUCGCAUCGUGGUGGUGAUGGCUCUUCAAUCCCCAUCACACACCGCGUUGAUCUCUCCCUCUCCUCUCACUCUCCCAUUAAACUCUAUGAUGUGCUUGUUUUUCCUCAGCUCAUUACUAACCUUGUUUCCGUUCGUGCCCUUACUCGUCAGAAUUCCGUUUCGGUUGAAUUUGACCCUUUUGGUUUUUCUAUCAAGGACCUGCAGACCAAGAUGGUGCUGCUCAGAUGUGAUAGCCCCCGCGAUCUCUAUCCGCUCCAGCCAUCACUACCCAACCACGCCCCCGUUGCCCUCCUCACCGGCGUUGAUCUCUGGCAUGCCCGAUUGGGGCACCCCGGCACCUCGACCAUGCACCAGCUUCUUCGUAGUGAUCUUUUUCAAUGUAAUAAAAGUGCGCCACACUCUUGUUCUGCUUGCCGCUUGGGCAAGAGUACUCGCCUUCCCUUUUCUUCUUCCCCUCAUGUUUCUCGUUUUCCAUUUGAAUUGUUGCACUGUGAUGUAUGGUCCUCUCCUAUAAUAAGCAAUUCGGGGUUUCAAUACUACUUGGUGGUCCUUGAUGAUUUCUCGCAUUUCGUAUGGACUUUCCCGUUGCGUCGCAAGUCGGACGUGCUCUCUACGCUCACUUCCUUCUUUGCAUUUGUUCGUACCCAGUUUUCUCGUCCCAUUCUCGGCCUCCAAACCGACAACGGGCGCGAAUUCGACAACCAUGGCAUACAUUCCCUGCUCUUCGCGCAUGGCUCCAUCCUCCGCCUCACAUGCCCGUAUACCUCGCAGCAAAAUGGGCGUGCCGAGCGCGUCCUCCGCACCCCCAGCGACGCCGUUCAUGCGCUCCUCCUUCACGUUGUUGUCCCGCUCCGGUACUGGCCCGAAGCCCUCUCCACCGCCACCCACACGCUCAAUAUACGUCCCUGUCGCGCUCGCGGUAACUUCACUCCCCACCACCUCUUCUUUGGUCACCCUCCCCCCUACGACGAACUCCGGAUCUUUGGUUGCCUCUGCUACCCUAAUCUCCCUACCACUUCUCCACACAAACUCGCCCCCGGUCCAUUCCCUGCGUCUUCUUCGGCUAUCCUCCCAAUACCAAGGGUUUCCGUCGUUUCGAUCCGGAAUCUGGGCGCGUCAUCAUCUCUAGGCACGUGUGCUUUGACGAGUCAGUUUUUCCCUUUCAACAGGUCUCCAGCUCAUCUUCGACGCCGUCAGUCCCGCCGCCGCACCUCGGGGCCCUCCCGUGCUGUUUCUACCUGCACCACCGGCUCCCCUCGCUGCGCGCCCCGUGGGCCUCGCUGUGCUGCACCAGUUGCGGAGCCGCCAGCACGUGCCUCCCCUGCAACGGGGGGCUGGCCGAGACCGGCGGUUCCUCCACCGACUGCAUUUGGAGCCUCGGCCCCGUCUACUGCACCACUCGCCGCCGCUCCCGACGCCACACCAUCUACACCACCUAUGCGCAGCACCUCUGGGCAGGCCUCUUCAUCGACUGCGUCCAGCGCCUCGGCCUCUUCCCGGGGGGCUAUCGCCCCACCUGCUGCCCCCGUCCACUCCGGGGUGGUUCGGGUGUACAUCAUCCUAGUCGGAAGUACUCCUCCAACGAGUACGUCUGCGCUGCCACCACGACUGCACCUUUGCCGCUCCCUGCGUCCGUUCACUCGGCGCUCCGGGACCCUCACUAACGCGCCGCCAUGCAAGACGAGUACGACGCGCUGUUGCGGAAUCGCACCUGGCAGCUCGUUCCGUGCUCUGCUUGCGCCCACAUCAUCAGCAACAAGUGGCUGUUUCAGCACAAACUGCACCCCGAUGGUUCUAUGGACAGGUACAAAGCUCGCUGGGUCGUCCGCGGCUUCCGGCAACAUGCAAGUCUCGACUUCACCGAAACCUUCGCCCCCGUCGUGCAGCCUGGCACGAUCCGUCCCGUCCUUCAGCUCGCCUGCUCGCGCCGCUGGGUCGUCCAUCAACUUGACGUCUCCAACGCCUUCUUGCAUGGGCACCUGACGGAGCAAGUCUUCUGCGAGCAGCCAGCUGGCUUCGUCGACCCUGCGUGCCCCGACAACGUCUGCCUGCUCUCUCGCUCCCUCAACGGCCUCAAGCAGGCUCCCCGCGUCUGGUACCAGCGCAUUGCUGUGUUCCCGGUCCGCGUCGGCUUCGUCAUCACCAGGUCUGACACGUCGCUGUUGGUCUAUCGCCGCUGCACCGACAUGGCUGUCACGCCCAAGAUGCGACCCUAUCCUCAAUUUGGCACGAAGGCCUCGUCAGGGAUAGAAGCGCAUCUCGUCGUGUCGCAAGAAUGGAUAUCGUUACAAGUACAUGUACUGAAAAGAAGAGAGAUAUAUAUAGAAUUGGCUUACACUCGCCACAAGCUACAUCAGAGUCACAACAGUACAUUACAUAUUCAUCAAGAGUAAGAGCAGGGUCCGACUACGGACGAAAACAAACGACACAAGAAGAACGACGUCCAUCCUUGCUAUCCCAGGCUGCCGGCCUGAAACCCAUCCUAGAUCGAAGAAGAAGAAGAAGAAGAAGAAGCAACUCCAAAUGAACAAUCAACGCUCUCGCGUCAAGUAAAACUUUACAUGUACCUGCAACUGGUGUUGUAGUAAUCUGUGAGCCACAGGGGACUCAGCAAUCUCAUUUCCAAAGGUAUCAAGACUAGCAAAGCUUAUUGGGUGAGGCAUGGUUAAGUGGUGAGGUUGCAGCAGCGGCUAAGCAUAUAUUUGGUGGCUAAACUUACGAGUACCAGAAAUAAGAGGGGGAAGAUCUACGCAUAGCGAACGUGAACUACGGUUGAUCAAAUAAAUGGUCCUGAACACCUACCUACGUCAGACAUAACCCCACCGUGUCCUCGAUCGGAGAAGGAACACACGAAAGAGACAGUCACGGUUACGCACACAGUUGGCAAGUUUUAAUUAAGUUAACUUCUAGUUAAGUAGAAACCAGUGUUAAACAAAGUUUCCACGUUGCCACAUAACCGCGGGCACGACUUUCCGAAAGAUUUAACCCCGCAGGGGUGCUCCAACUAGUCCAUCACAAAUUAUCACAAGCCGCAUAGAAAUCCUCAAUCACGAAGCUCGCGAUCUCGUCGGAUUCCCUAGUGGAAAACCUCAACUCUGAGAUUACCCAAAGCAUCACCGGAAUCCCGAUGCACAAGAUAUCUCGAUAGGUUAAAACUAAUCCAGCAAGGCCGCCCGACGUGUCGACGAUCCCGAUAGGAGUCGCGUACCUCGUUCUCAGGACACGACGGAUGGGUCACACUAGGAGAUAACAAACCUCGGGUUGCCCCGCGGUGGCCCCGUAGUCUGCCAAUUUGGACCAACACUCAUGAGGAGCACUGGCCCGGGGUUGAUUAAAUUAUCCUCGGGGUCCGGAAAGUCCCUAUGCAAUUUUACUAGGUGAUUAGGCAAAUGUAGUACCAAAGUUGGGCCUUGCCAGACCAGUCUUAAUCUAAAACGAAUUAUCAAAGGGGGUCCCCAUAACAACUCCGAUCGUGUUAGGAGCGCUCAAUUAUGGAACAUAACACCGGUAGCCGAAACUAAGGGGGCAAAGGUGGAACAAAACACCAGGCUAGAAAGGCCGAGCCUUCCACCUUUUACCAAGUAUAUAGGUCCAUUAAAUUAAAUAGCAUUUAAAUAUGGUGAUAUAACAAGGAACCCAUGUUUUUACGUGGAAGCAACUGCACCUGCACCUGCAACUAGCAACGCUAACACAGGGUUAAGCAAGCAGUAACAUAGCCAAUCGGUGGUUUGCUAGGUUGAACAGGUUGAUGGUUUUCAUGGCAUUGUUGAGAGGCUGAUAUUUAACAUGUGGUAGGCAACGAGACAUAAUCGAUAGCAUCGAAAUAUCUGGCAUGGCAAUGAUAGUAAUGGUAUCUGGGGAAAUGGUCAUCUUUCCUGAGAUCCCGCUUGGAAGAAGAAUGACUCCAUGAAGCAGACGAACCGACGUAGUCGAACGGGUCCUCACAUCCGACACGCUUGCGGAACUCUAUCGAGACGGAGGAAACCGGAAACAAGCAUCAACACAGAUAUUCACCACAUGAUGCACAACACAAAUGAUGCAUGAGCAGCUGAACGCAUGCAAGACACGGCAUGACAAUUCACGACAAACAAACACUACACAUUAAGUGAAGUUCAAUAUGCAACGAGUUGCAUAUUGACGAAACUCCAUGUUUAUUAUUUAGUUCUAUCCCGAUUAGAUACAUGACAAUAUUAAAUGUGGUUAAACAUGGCAAGAGGUGAAGCGUAAUUAAACUACCUAUCUAGGCAUUUUAAAUGAGGUCGGAAAUGACAUAUAACACCUCCGAAACGACCUCACAUGUUAAUUUAUGAUUCUGUCCAGAUCUGAACUAACACAUUUAAUUAGUUGUUAAGCACAAAAACAAAUAGGUUCACGUGAUUCUACUCGUCGUUACAAGAAAUUUACACAUAGAGAACAUCUCCAAUGGAAGUACGGUUCAAAAGAUACAAGCAUCACAAGAUAUGAUGUCAUGAAUGCAAUAUGUGUGCAACGACGGUCACAGGCACUUCAAAACAUACAACCAGCAAGGGAAAAUGAAACUACACGAGAUUCUAAGCAAGUUUCAUGUAGGACACAAUCAGAACGGAGCUACGGAUCAAAAGCUACGAGCAAAACAAGAAAACACUACAAUCUGCCAAAAUCAGCCACAUAGCAUUUUCUACGCCCCACAACUACGAGCUACUCAACUCCAAUAUACUCAACCAAGGCAUGUCACAAAAGAGGGCAAGACGUUCUACCACAAACAACUAACAACAACUAGCAUGGCAUCAAGGAUCACUAGGAAAAGAAGUCACAAAAUGGCAUCCCACACACUAUUUCAGACUUAGUGAAAAUUACACCUCAUGAGAGUGCAGUUUUCGAUCUGAAGCCAUAUUGACAGCAGCAAAACCUAUAUCUACAGGACUCCAAAGGACAUGAAAAAUCACAGCAUGCUAGAGAAACACAAGGUUUACAACUAACUCCAUUGGACCAACCUCAAAAGAGCUACAGAUCACAAGAUAGAAGCAAAACAGAACAGCAACAAAAUAUAACAAAUACCAGACUUAGAAAUAUUUCAGCUCCUUCAAAUCAGCACUAUUUCUAGCAACUUGAGAGCAAGCAAACCACACCUAAACAUGCAUUUCUAUUGCAACUAAAAAUAACAGAGGCUAGACUAAACAUCAAAGAACAACUCCCUAGUUGACAACUUAAUCAAACGAAGUACGAAAUAAAUCCUACGAAAUAGACAAGAGGGCAACAUAGCAAAAUAUCGCGCGAACUAACUUACUAGAAAGCUAAAACUAAUUGCACAGAAAAAUCCCAUGGAUUUUUCUACCCCGAAAACAUAUUAAAUAUGUGGGGUUGCGCAACAAAAAUAAUGCCACACGAAAAUGCGAGAUAAUAACCUAGACACGGAAAAAUAAACUAGCGCAAUUCCCUACACGCAAAAAUACGAAUGACCGCUCUAAAAUACAUGCAAAAAUGGUUCCUAAAACAUGGACAUUUCUACUACGGCAUACGUGCAAUACGGACACACGUGAAAAAUAAAUACGGGACGCAAAUAUAUUAGGACAGCACGUUAAUCUAUGCUUACGGCAUGCUAAACUUUGUCAAACAAAUAUGCAAGUUGCACCAACUUAUUCUACGUGCAAAACUACGCGAAAUCCCUAUGCUACUCAUCGCGAUCCGACUUACGGAAUAAAAGAUACGAACGUUUUAAUAUUACUAUAUAUCCUGAAAUCUAUCUAAAUCGAAAACGCCAAUAAAACAUAUUGGUCCGAAAAGGUGGGCGCUACAUAGAUAUCAUGCACACGGGGGAGGAAUAGAGGCUCACCUCGGGAAAAGGCCUCUUGGGCCGGUCUGGUGCAGCAGAGGUGGAGUGGGCCUCGGGGGUGAACCGGCCUGUGCCUGGCGGAGCAGCUGGGUCGGCACGGGGGUGCUGGCCGACUGGGCCGGACGCGGGGCGGGGCCCAAGAGGGAGACGAGCGCUGCGCUCGUCGAACUUCUCGCUGGCUGCCGAGCUUGAGCCAUGGCGUCGACGGAUCUGGCAGUUGCUGCGGCUGGCGAGCUCCAGCAGGAGCAAGGGGCAGCCGACUUGGGCGGGCAGGGCCCGAGGCGGACUGAAAGGCGGCGGCGGCUCGGCUUGCUGCCGGCCUCGGGUAGACCUGGCUCGGGGAGUUCCCUCGGGCAGUUCGCACGGCGGGACGACGAAGCUGACGGAGGCGGGCCGGAGCUUCGGGCUGCGGGGCGGCCUCCGGCGACGGCGGGGCUGCUACGGGGGCUGGCCACCCGGGGAGGCGGCGGAAGGAGGCGGCGGCUCGACGGGGAAGGCGCGGUGAGGCACGGGAGGUGGCUGGAAGGCGGGGCUCGCGAGCGGCGACGGAUCUGGGCUCGGCCGGGCUCGAUCUGGGCCUGGCGGGCCCAGCGGCUGCGCAGAGGGGGAGGGAGGAGAGAGAGUGGGUGGAUUAGGGUUUCGGGGGCACGCUUUUCGAGGAGAGAGGGGGUUGGCUGCCUCAAAAUAGGAGGGGGUCUAUUUAUAGACAAAUGGGGGGCUAGUUUAACCGGAAUUUCGUUCCGGAUCCAACCGUGCGGUCGGAUUCGGACGAUUCCGCACGCGGGAACGGGCAAGUGGCCGUGUAGGGUGGUUUACCGGAGACGAGAGGGAAAACGGGCGGCGCGGCAACAAUUUUUAAAACACCGAUAACCGUCCGACGGUAGACCGAAUACGGUGCCGCUACGGUCGACCGUUCGGGUACCAGACGAACCCCGACCGCGACGAAAUUCGACAGGCGACCUAGCUAUAACUAACUACGACCGCAUGCCAAGUUUCACCCCGAUGAGAGAAAGUUUUACGCACACUUUUAAAACAGGGUUCGAACGAUGCCGCGGGCGCGUGCGUGUGUGAACGGGCUCAGAACGAACAACGACGAGAACCGGCAACUAACAACGGAUGCAAGUUUGACAACUGGUGGCACCGCAGAUGCCGAUGCAAUGCAGAUGAUGCGGCAAAAGAAAAUAGACACACGACGAAAACGGAAUAGAAGGGGAAUCUUCUGGAACGUCGGUCUCGGCCUGUCACAAUGGCGUACCUUCUGCUGUACGUUAUUGAAAUCGUCUUGACGGCCUCCACUGACGCUCUCCUUCGCCACUUCAUUGGCCUCCUUCAGCACGAGUUCGCCCUGAAGGACCUCGGCGCGCUUCAUUACUUCCUGGGCGUGGAGGUAACACGCCGCCCCGAUGGCUUCUUCCUCUGUGAAAAGAAGUAUGCCCUCGAGCUGCUGGACCGCGCCGGCAUGACCAACUGCAAACCAGCGUCUACCCCCAUCGACACCUCGGGCAAGGUCUCCGGGCAGGCUGGCGUCCCCUUCUCCGAUGCCUCCUUCUACCGCAGCGUCAUCGGUGCCCUCCAGUACCUGACGCUGACGAGACCCGAUCUUCAGUACGCGGUGCAACAAGUCUGCCUCCACCUGCAUGCCCCGCGCGAUGUUCACUGGACCUUGGUGAAGUGCAUCUUGCGGUACAUCCGCGGGUCGCCCUCGCUUGGGCUCACUCUCUGCGCCUCCUCGUCGCUUGACAUCGGCGCCUACUCCGAUGCCGACUGGGCCGGCUGCUCCGACACUCGCCGUUCGACCUCUAGCUACUGCAUCUACAUGGGGCCUUCGCUGGUGUCGUGGUCGUCCAAACGACAACCCACCGUGUCCCGAUCUAGUGCGGAGGCCGAGUACCGUGCCGUCGCCAAUGCGGUUCCUGAGUGCUCCUGGCUGCGUCAGCUCUUAACUUAGCUCCACUGCGACGUCGCCAAAGCCACUGUGGUCUACUGCGACAACGUCUCGGCGGUGUACCUCUCCGCCAACCCCGUCCAUCACCGUCGCACCAAGCAUAUCGAGCUCGACAUCCAUUUCAUCCGCGAGAAGGUGGCGCUAGGGCAUGUCCGUGUUCUUCACGUGCCCACGGCUCAAUAAUUCGUCGACGUCAUGACCAAAGGGCUUCCACCGUCGGUGUUUCGCGAAUUUCGCUCCAGUCUCAGCAUCUCCGACGACGAGGCAUCGACUGUCGGGGGGGGGGGGGGGGGGAAGGGGGGGGGGGGGUUGAAACAGGCCUAAUACGCACACCACGGCGGUGGCCCAACUUGGCUCACAAGCAAGCCCAGCAUGGCGAAGAUCUGGCAACGCAUGCACGUCCGCAUGCGUGGGAUCGCUACCCACCUCGCACGCCAUCUACUGAUCGCUGAGCUGCUCCUUAGGGUUUGAGUUAGCUGCUGCUGUACUGCCCUUGUAUAAGUAUGGAUGAUAUAGAUUGAAUAAAUGUGUGCGGACUCAAAACCUUUGUCUCAAAUCUCAC
RNAcentral lists this long non-coding RNA (10188 nucleotides) under Hordeum vulgare. RNAcentral describes it as "long non-coding RNA (HVUL_LNC013969)". The record is from RNAcentral. Lineage: Eukaryota; Viridiplantae; Streptophyta; Magnoliopsida; Poales; Poaceae.